RNAcentral lists this ribosomal RNA (497 nucleotides) under uncultured bacterium. RNAcentral describes it as "partial 16S ribosomal RNA". It matches the Rfam family "Bacterial small subunit ribosomal RNA", at positions 28 to 507 of the family's 1533-position model. The record is from RNAcentral.
GAUGAACGCUGGCGGCGUGCCUAAUACAUGCAAGUCGAGCGAACAGACGAGGAGCUUGCUCCUUUGACGUUAGCGGCGGACGGGUGAGUAACACGUGGAUAACCUACCUAUAAGACUGGGAUAACUUCGGGAAACCGGAGCUAAUACCGGAUAACAUGUUGAACCGCAUGGUUCAACAGUGAAAGACGGUCUUGCUGUCACUUAUAGAUGGAUCCGCGCCGCAUUAGCUAGUUGGUAAGGUAACGGCUUACCAAGGCAACGAUGCGUAGCCGACCUGAGAGGGUGAUCGGCCACACUGGAACUGAGACACGGUCCAGACUCCUACGGGAGGCAGCAGUAGGGAAUCUUCCGCAAUGGGCGAAAGCCUGACGGAGCAACGCCGCGUGAGUGAUGAAGGUCUUCGGAUCGUAAAACUCUGUUAUUAGGGAAGAACAAAUGUGUAAGUAACUAUGCACGUCUUGACGGUACCUAAUCAGAAAGCCACGGCUAACUACGUG